Molecule: ribosomal RNA, 491 nt
Filed under: uncultured bacterium
Lineage: Bacteria
Description: partial 16S ribosomal RNA
Rfam family: Bacterial small subunit ribosomal RNA
Source: RNAcentral
AUGAACGCUAGCUACAGGCUUAACCCAUGCAAGUCGAGGGGCAGCGGUAUCGAAAGCUUGCUUUCGGUAGCCGGCGACCGGCGCACGGGUGAGUAACGCGUAUCGAACCUGCCUCAUACUCGGGAAUAGCCUUGCGAAAGUAAGAUUAAUGCCCGGUGUUUUCAGAGUCCCGCAUGAGGCUUUGAACAAAGAUUUAUCGGUAUGAGAUGGCGAUGCGUCCCAUUAGCUUGUUGGCGGGGUAACGGCCCACCAAGGCAUCGAUGGGUAGGGGUUCUGAGAGGAAGGUCCCCCACAUUGGAACUGAGACACGGUCCAAACUCCUACGGGAGGCAGCAGUGAGGAAUAUUGGUCAAUGGGCGGAAGCCUGAACCAGCCAAGUAGCGUGCAGGAAGACGGCCCUCCGGGUUGUAAACUACUUUUAGUUGGGAAUAAAACGGGGCUCGUGAGCCCCCUUGCAUGUACCAUCAGAAAAAGGACCGGCUAAUUCCGUG